UUAGGUAAAGUUACUAAGAGCAUACGGUGGAUGCCUUGGCACCAUAAGCCGAUGAAGGACGUGGUUACCUGCGAUAUGCCUCGGAGAGGUGGAAAACAACCUUAGACCCGGGGAUUUCCGAAUGGGACAACCCUCCAGGGGUAAUGCUCUGGAAUCGUAUACUGAAUCCAUAGGUAUACGAAGACAACGAGGGGAACUGAAACAUCUAAGUACCCUCAGGAAGAGAAAACAAUAGUGAUUCCCUGAGUAGUGGCGAGCGAAACGGGAAGAGCCUAAACCGAGUAACAUGUAAGGAUGCGACCCUUGUGUUACCGGUGUUGCGGGAGCAGCUGGCCAAUUCGCAUUGCGGCCAAAGAGUUACAAAACGCAAUCAUAGUUGAAGUGUUUGGAAAGACACGCCAGAGAAGGUGAAAGCCCUGUAAGCGAAAUGAUCUGCGACUCUUGUUGUUAUCCCAAGUACCACGGAGUAAGAGAAAUUCUGUGGGAAUCUGCCAGAACCAUCUGGUAAGGCUAAAUACUCUAUGGUGACCGAUAGUGCACAAGUACCGUGAGGGAAAGGUGAAAAGAACCCUUAAGAAGGGAGUGAAAAGAAUCUGAAACCGUAUGCUUACAAUCUGUAGGAGGAAGUAGUGGCCUUCGGGCUGCUAUGACUGACUGCGUGCCUUUUGCUUAAUGAGCCUACGAGUUACUCGUACGAUGCAAGGUUAAGGACCUCAGGUCCGCAGCCGUAGCGAAAGCAAGUCUGAAAUGGGCGUGUUGAGUACCGUGCGGUAGACGCGAACCCAGGUGAUCUACCGAUGACCAGGAUGAAGUGGGAGUAAAAUCUCAUGGAGGUCCGAACCAGUGUGGGUUGAAAACCGCUUGGAUGAGUUGUCGGUAGGAGUGAAAGGCCAAUCAAACCUGGAAAUAGCUCGUACUCUCCGAAAUGUUUUUAGGAACAGCCUCGCGUGUAGUGUACCGGAGGUAGAGCACUGAUUGGGCUAGGGCCCUCACAAGGGUACCAAACCCAGACAAACUCCGAAUUCCGGAUACAUGUUCCGCGGGAGUGAGGCGGCGAGGGAUAAGCUUCGUUGCCGAGAGGGAAACAACCCAGACCAUCAGCUAAGGCCCCCAAGACUACGUUAACAGAUAAAGGAUGUCAGAUUGCUCAGACAACUAGGAUGUUGGCUUAGAAGCAGCCAUUCAUUUAAAGAGUGCGUAAUAGCUCACUAGUCAAGCGAUCAGGCGUCGAUAAUUGCCGGGACUAAACGUAGCGCCGAAGCUAUGGAAUCGUCUUUGACGAUUGGUAGGAGAGCAUUCUGUCUGCGAACCACGAAGUGGUGAUCUUCGGAUCGAAGGUGCGUCGUAAGGCGUGCUGGAGCGUACAGAAAAGAAAAUGUAGGCAUAAGUAACGAUAAACACUGUGAAAAACAGUGUCACCGAAAAUCUAAGGUUUCCUGAGCAACGUUAAUCGACUCAGGGUUAGUCGGACCCUAAGCCGAGGCCGAAAGGCGUAGGCGAUGGAAAACAGGUUAAAUAUUCCUGUACCUGUUAUUAUUUGUUUGACCGUAAGGAGGGACGCAGGAGUGAAAGGUCGGCCAGCUGUCGGAAUAGCUGGUUUAAGCACGUAGGCCGGCGAUGUAGGCAAAUCCGCAUCGUCAAGCCGAGAUGUGAAUAGGGCGCCCGUAUGGGCCACAACCGACCCUAAGCAUGCUGCCGAGAAAAGCUUCGUGCGGGAAAAUAAUGACAGACCGUACCGUAAACCGACACAGGUAGAUGAGGAGAGAAUCCUAAGGUGCUCGAGUGAGCCGUGGUUAAGGAACUCGGCAAAAUGACUCCGUAACUUCGGG
This 1829-nucleotide ribosomal RNA is filed under the name Ignavibacteria bacterium. RNAcentral describes it as "bacterial LSU rRNA". It matches the Rfam family "Bacterial large subunit ribosomal RNA", at positions 1 to 1740 of the family's 2925-position model. The record is from RNAcentral. Lineage: Bacteria; Pseudomonadati; Ignavibacteriota; Ignavibacteria.